Molecule: transfer RNA, 85 nt
Filed under: Felis catus (domestic cat)
Lineage: Eukaryota; Metazoa; Chordata; Mammalia; Carnivora; Felidae
Rfam family: tRNA
About the family: Transfer RNA (tRNA) molecules are approximately 80 nucleotides in length. Their secondary structure includes four short double-helical elements and three loops (D, anti-codon, and T loops). Further hydrogen bonds mediate the characteristic L-shaped molecular structure. tRNAs have two regions of fundamental functional importance: the anti-codon, which is responsible for specific mRNA codon recognition, and the 3' end, to which the tRNAs corresponding amino acid is attached (by aminoacyl-tRNA synthetases). tRNAs cope with the degeneracy of the genetic code in two manners: having more than one tRNA (with a specific anti-codon) for a particular amino acid; and 'wobble' base-pairing, i.e. permitting non-standard base-pairing at the 3rd anti-codon position.
Source: Rfam by way of RNAcentral
GCCUGGGUGGCUCAUUCAGUAAGCAUGCGACUUUAGCUCAGGUCAUGAUCUCGCAGGGUCGUGAGUUCAAGCCCCGCCUCGGGCU